GAACGCUGGCGGCGUGCCUAAUACAUGCAAGUCGAGCGAACGGACGAGAAGCUUGCUUCUCUGAUGUUAGCGGCGGACGGGUGAGUAACACGUGGAUAACCUACCUAUAAGACUGGGAUAACUUCGGGAAACCGGAGCUAAUACCGGAUAAUAUUUUGAACCGCAUGGUUCAAAAGUGAAAGACGGUCUUGCUGUCACUUAUAGAUGGAUCCGCGCUGCAUUAGCUAGUUGGUAAGGUAACGGCUUACCAAGGCAACGAUGCAUAGCCGACCUGAGAGGGUGAUCGGCCACACUGGAACUGAGACACGGUCCAGACUCCUACGGGAGGCAGCAGUAGGGAAUCUUCCGCAAUGGGCGAAAGACUGACGGAGCAACGCCGCGUGAGUGAUGAAGGUCUUCGGAUCGUAAAACUCUGUUAUUAGGGAAGAACAUAUGUGUAAGUAACUGUGCACAUCUUGACGGUACCUAAUCAGAAAGCCACGGCUAACUACGUG
This 494-nucleotide ribosomal RNA is filed under the name uncultured bacterium. RNAcentral's name for it is "partial 16S ribosomal RNA". It matches the Rfam family "Bacterial small subunit ribosomal RNA", at positions 31 to 507 of the family's 1533-position model. The record is from RNAcentral.